This 481-nucleotide ribosomal RNA is filed under the name uncultured bacterium. Its description in RNAcentral is "partial 16S ribosomal RNA". It matches the Rfam family "Bacterial small subunit ribosomal RNA", at positions 28 to 507 of the family's 1533-position model. The record is from RNAcentral.
GAUGAACGCUGGCGGCGUGCUUAACACAUGCAAGUCGAACGAAGCAUUUAGGACAGAUUACUUCGGUUUGAAGUUCUUUAUGACUGAGUGGCGGACGGGUGAGUAACGCGUGGGUAACCUGCCUUGUACUGGGGGAUAGCAGCUGGAAACGGCUGGUAAUACCGCAUAAGCGCACAAUGUUGCAUGACAUGGUGUGAAAAACUCCGGUGGUAUAAGAUGGACCCGCGUCUGAUUAGCUAGUUGGUGAGAUAACAGCCCACCAAGGCGACGAUCAGUAGCCGACCUGAGAGGGGGACCGGCCACAUUGGGACUGAGACACGGCCCAGACUCCUACGGGAGGCAGCAGUGGGGAAUAUUGCACAAUGGAGGAAACUCUGAUGCAGCGACGCCGCGUGAGUGAAGAAGUAAUUCGUUAUGUAAAGCUCUAUCAGCAGGGAAGAUAGUGACGGUACCUGACUAAGAAGCUCCGGCUAAAUACGUG